GGAAAUGACACUGUUCCAAUAUAGGAGAAAACACUUGCAAGGAAAGAUCACACAUUCACCAUGGAAAAAGAAGCAAACUUUCAUGACUCAGUCACCAUAAUUAGUUCCAACUAUGCCAAUAUGGCAUGCAAGGAGACAUUGUAAUUAAUCAGUCAACAACCAUAGACUAUCUACUCGAGCCACCCCUAUUAAAACGGAUUCUAACAAAGGUUAUUCCCAACCUGUGGAUAGGACCUGAAAAUACAGUAGCCUGCAUCGUGAAAACUUGGUCUCCAUCAAGAAACGACAGAAACAGACUUUUCUUUGCAAAGCGACAACCCCUUCUUUCCAUUACUGGUGAUUGCACAGUAGCCUGAGCAAGCAUUUGAACAUCAAUAUCCCUAUGGAUAUAACCUCAAAACUCACAUUGCUGUUUGGCACACUUCUUUCUUUAGUCCUACUCACUUCAGCUCAAACAUGCUCAAACUUUACCUUUCCAAAUAACCAAGUCUUCAGUUCCUGCACUGACCUUCCGUCACUGCAAGCUCAACUCCACUGGAACUACAUUGCCUCCACCAGAAGCAUUCACUUAGCAUACAAAGCCAACCAAGCCCCUGCAGGAUGGAUUGCGUGGGCAAUCAACCCAACUGGAACAGGCAUGGUAGGUUCACAGGCAUUAGUUGCUUGUCAAAAUUCUGAAGGAAGCAUGACUGCUUUUCCAACUCCAGUAACCAGUUCGAGCCCAUCAAUGCAACCUGGUACUCU
RNAcentral lists this unclassified non-coding RNA (744 nucleotides) under Hevea brasiliensis (rubber tree). The record is from RNAcentral. Lineage: Eukaryota; Viridiplantae; Streptophyta; Magnoliopsida; Malpighiales; Euphorbiaceae.